RNAcentral lists this unclassified non-coding RNA (336 nucleotides) under soil metagenome. Its description in RNAcentral is "partial contains 5.8S ribosomal RNA, internal transcribed spacer 2, and large subunit ribosomal RNA". The stretch from base 1 to 120 matches the Rfam family "5.8S ribosomal RNA", at positions 35 to 154 of the family's 154-position model. The record is from RNAcentral.
GAUGAAGAACGUAGCGAAAUGCGAUAAGUAGUGUGAAUUGCAGAAUUCAGUGAAUCAUCGAAUCUUUGAACGCACAUUGCGCCCCUUGGUAUUCCAUGGGGCACGCCUGUUCGAGCGUCAUUUGUACCUUCAAGCUUUGCUUGGUGUUGGGUGUUUGUCUCGCCUUUGCGUGUAGACUCGCCUUAAAAUAAUUGGCAGCCGGCGUAUUGAUUUCGGAGCGCAGUACAUCUCGCGCUUUGCACUCAUAACGACAGCGUCCAAAAGUACAUUUUACACUCUUGACCUCGGAUCAGGUAGGGAUACCCGCUGAACUUAAGCAUAUCAAUAAGCGGAGGA